GCAAGUCGAGCGGUAGCACAGGGGAGCUUGCUCCCUGGGUGACGAGCGGCGGACGGGUGAGUAAUGUCUGGGAAACUGCCUGAUGGAGGGGGAUAACUACUGGAAACGGUAGCUAAUACCGCAUAACGUCGCAAGACCAAAGAGGGGGACCUUCGGGCCUCUUGCCAUCAGAUGUGCCCAGAUGGGAUUAGCUAGUAGGUGGGGUAAUGGCUCACCUAGGCGACGAUCCCUAGCUGGUCUGAGAGGAUGACCAGCCACACUGGAACUGAGACACGGUCCAGACUCCUACGGGAGGCAGCAGUGGGGAAUAUUGCACAAUGGGCGCAAGCCUGAUGCAGCCAUGCCGCGUGUGUGAAGAAGGCCUUCGGGUUGUAAAGCACUUUCAGCGAGGAGGAAGGUGGUGAACUUAAUACGUUCAUCAAUUGACGUUACUCGCAGAAGAAGCACCGGCUAACUCCGUGCCAGCAGCCGCGGUAAUACGGAGGGUGCAAGCGUUAAUCGGAAUUACUGGGCGUAAAGCGCACGCAGGCGGUUUGUUAAGUCAGAUGUGAAAUCCCCGGGCUCAACCUGGGAACUGCAUUUGAAACUGGCAAGCUAGAGUCUCGUAGAGGGGGGUAGAAUUCCAGGUGUAGCGGUGAAAUGCGUAGAGAUCUGGAGGAAUACCGGUGGCGAAGG
Molecule: ribosomal RNA, 675 nt
Filed under: Serratia marcescens
Lineage: Bacteria; Pseudomonadati; Pseudomonadota; Gammaproteobacteria; Enterobacterales; Yersiniaceae
Description: bacterial SSU rRNA
Rfam family: Bacterial small subunit ribosomal RNA
Source: RNAcentral